This 644-nucleotide long non-coding RNA is filed under the name Drosophila guanche. Lineage: Eukaryota; Metazoa; Arthropoda; Insecta; Diptera; Drosophilidae. The record is from RNAcentral.
AGCUCAUGCCUAACUAUAAUUCCAGCCGGGCAAUGAUACAAUACAAUACAAUGUAAAUUCAUCAAGUGAAUUCCCUUUCACUUACAACUGAUAUUAAUGGCACCUACAAUGAACGAUCUUUUGCAAAUCAAAUUGAGUCGCCUUCUAAGAUUUUAUCAUAAGCAGUUUUGUAUACUCAUAUUCAGGCGGCAUCUUAAGACAUCUCAAUCUCAAAAGACAUGCACAUACAACAGCCGCGGGCUCCAUGAGAUACGAAAUGCCAACUGGCACACACACUGCGCAUGCGUACGUGAUUUUGUGAUUUAAUUAACUGUGGCCUGGCAACAGCACACAGCUGUACGCAUGGCACAUCAAUGCUCGUAUGUACUGCAAACUUAAGCAGCAGUAAAGUAAGGUGAGUAACAGGCAUUGACUUUGGUAAUGAAAACAAUUCGCUGUGGUCUAAUUUCAGCGCAGUCCAGUCGAGUUCAGGCCAGGCCCUUCAUGCAAGAAUGCCUCAAUUGAAGGACUUCCCAGAAUGAUUCAUAGGCAUUCAGCUGGUUGCCGCUAAGCGUUAAUUAAAUACUUGCAGAACUUGCAAGGUCACUGUCAUAAAUUUAACAAUAUGUAGACAUACUCGUAAGUGUAAUGCAGGCAGGCCAUGU